RNAcentral lists this ribosomal RNA (440 nucleotides) under uncultured bacterium. RNAcentral's name for it is "partial 16S ribosomal RNA". It matches the Rfam family "Bacterial small subunit ribosomal RNA", at positions 338 to 795 of the family's 1533-position model. The record is from RNAcentral.
CCUACGGGGUGCAGCAGUGGGGGAUAUUGCACAAUGGGGGGAACCCUGAUGCAGCGACGCCGCGUGGGUGAAGAAGCGCCUCGGCGCGUAAAGCCCUGUCAGCAGGGAAGAAAAUGACGGUACCUGAAGAAGAAGCCCCGGCUAACUACGUACCAGCCGCCGCGGGAAUACGUAGGGGGCAAGCGUUAUCCGGAUUUACUGGGGGUAAAGGGGGCGCAGACGGCGAAGCAAGCCAGGAGUGACAGCCCGGGGCCCAACCCCGGGACUGCUCUUGGAACUGCGUGGCUGGAGUGCAGGAGGGGCAGGCGGAAUUCCUGGUGUAGCGGUGAAAUGCGUAGAGAUCAGGAGGAACACCGGUGGCGAAGGCGGCCUGCUGGACUGCAACUGACGUUGAGGCCCGAAAGCGUGGGGAGCAAACAGGAUUAGAUACCCCUGUAGUC